This 316-nucleotide ribosomal RNA is filed under the name Enterobacter hormaechei. Its description in RNAcentral is "bacterial SSU rRNA". It matches the Rfam family "Bacterial small subunit ribosomal RNA", at positions 443 to 750 of the family's 1533-position model. The record is from RNAcentral. Lineage: Bacteria; Pseudomonadati; Pseudomonadota; Gammaproteobacteria; Enterobacterales; Enterobacteriaceae.
GGAGGAAGGCGACAGGGUUAAUAACCCUGUCAGAUUGACGUUACCCGCAGAAGAAGCACCGGCUAACUCCGUGCCAGCAGCCGCGGUAAUACGGAGGGUGCAAGCGUUAAUCGGAAUUACUGGGCGUAAAGCGCACGCAGGCGGUCUGUCAAGUCGGAUGUGAAAUCCCCGGGCUCAACCUGGGAACUGCAUUCGAAACUGGCAGGCUAGAGUCUUGUAGAGGGGGGUAGAAUUCCAGGUGUAGCGGUGAAAUGCGUAGAGAUCUGGAGGAAUACCGGUGGCGAAGGCGGCCCCCUGGACAAAGACUGACGCUCAG